RNAcentral lists this ribosomal RNA (274 nucleotides) under uncultured bacterium. RNAcentral's name for it is "partial 16S ribosomal RNA". It matches the Rfam family "Bacterial small subunit ribosomal RNA", at positions 523 to 796 of the family's 1533-position model. The record is from RNAcentral.
AUACGGAGGGUGCAAGCGUUAAUCGGAAUUACUGGGCGUAAAGGGUUCGUAGGCGGUUAUUUAAGUCAGAUGUGAAAGCCCCGGGCUCAACCUGGGAAUUGCAUCUGAUACUGGGUAACUAGAGUUUAAGAGAGGAGUGUGGAAUUUCCGGUGUAGCGGUGAAAUGCAUAGAGAUCCGAAGGAACAUCAGUGGCGAAGGCGGCACUCCGGCUUAAAACUGACGCUGAGGAACGAAAGCGUGGGUAGCAAACAGGAUUAGAAACCCUAGUAGUCC